UACGAAGGGGGCUAGCGUUGCUCGGAUUGACUGGGCGUAAAGGGCGCGUAGGCGGUUUGCACAGUCAGACGUGGAAUUCCUGGGCUCAACCUGGGGGCUGCGUUUGAUACGUGUAGACUUGAGUGCGGAAGAGGGUCGUGGAAUUCCCAGUGUAGAGGUGAAAUUCGUAGAUAUUGGGAAGAACACCGGUGGCGAAGGCGGCGACCUGGUCCGAUACUGACGCUGAGGCGCGAAAGCGUGGGGAGCAAACAGG
RNAcentral lists this ribosomal RNA (253 nucleotides) under uncultured bacterium. RNAcentral's name for it is "partial 16S ribosomal RNA". It matches the Rfam family "Bacterial small subunit ribosomal RNA", at positions 524 to 776 of the family's 1533-position model. The record is from RNAcentral.